This 446-nucleotide ribosomal RNA is filed under the name uncultured bacterium. RNAcentral's name for it is "partial 16S ribosomal RNA". It matches the Rfam family "Bacterial small subunit ribosomal RNA", at positions 338 to 795 of the family's 1533-position model. The record is from RNAcentral.
CCUACGGGAGGCUGCAGUCGAGAAUCAUUCACAAUGGGGGAAACCCUGAUGGUGCGACGCCGCGUGGGGGAAUGAAGGUCUUCGGAUUGUAAACCCCUGUCAUGUGGGAGCAAAUUAAAAAGAUAGUACCACAAGAGGAAGAGACGGCUAACUCUGUGCCAGCAGCCGCGGUAAUACAGAGGUCUCAAGCGUUGUUCGGAAUCACUGGGCGUAAGGCGUGCGGAGGCUGUUUCGUAAGUCGUGUGUGAAAGGCGCGGGCUCAACCCGCGGACGGCACAUGAUACUGCGAGACUAGAGUAAUGGAGGGGGAACCGGAAUUCUCGGUGUAGCAGUGAAAUGCGUAGAUAUCGAGAGGAACACUCGUGGCGAAGGCGGGUUCCUGGACAUUAACUGACGCUGAGGCACGAAGGCCAGGGGAGCGAAAGGGAUUAGAUACCCCAGUAGUC